GCAAUUCACAGUGGUUAAUAAAUUCGAAUGCUGCUGCACUGCCGAUUGGCCGCUACAGCGCCCCGUAGUUGAUGACGUCACCCGCCUAACGCUUGACGUUAUCCGUAUCCGAUGAGAUGAAGUCAAGUUUCGCGCCGGAAGAUAACGGCUGGGAGUAAAAAUUGCGAUUUCAGCAUUGGAGAUCCUCUAAGUCCUACUUAUCACCAAUCAAUUACCUCAAAUGAAAAGUUACCUCGCCAUUAUUGCUCAAAAAGACUGGAAGGAGUCCUGUUGAGGAUUUAGAUUCCUCCUCUUUUGAAAAGUGCAACCGAUUGAAGUUAUAAAGGGCUCUGGGGUGUUUUGCCAGGCAGAAGUGUGGAAAGCAGCCCUCCUUGCCACCUCUGCUACUGCCAUGGUGUGGAAUCUGCUGCUGGGCACAUUUGAUCUGGAGACUUUGCUGAAAAACAACCUGAAUGGUGGGAAGCCAACCAGAGGGAUGGGGAG
Molecule: non-coding RNA, 483 nt
Organism: Pimephales promelas (fathead minnow)
Lineage: Eukaryota; Metazoa; Chordata; Actinopteri; Cypriniformes; Leuciscidae
Source: RefSeq, a predicted model, not a curated record